Molecule: transfer RNA, 104 nt
Filed under: Candidatus Woesearchaeota archaeon
Lineage: Archaea; Nanobdellati; Candidatus Woesearchaeota
Description: tRNA-Ile
Rfam family: tRNA
About the family: Transfer RNA (tRNA) molecules are approximately 80 nucleotides in length. Their secondary structure includes four short double-helical elements and three loops (D, anti-codon, and T loops).
Source: RNAcentral
GGCCCUGUGGCUUAGCUUGGUACUUUACAUAAACCUGAUGUGAAGCAAGAAAGAGCACACGACUGAUAAUCGUGAGGUCCGGAGUUCAAAUCUCCGCGGGGCCA